AGGGUGAGUAACACGUGAAUAAUCUGCCUAUGAAUUCGGGAUAACUCAGCGAAAGUUGUGCUAAUACCGAAUAAGACCACGUCUCUUAUGUGAUGUGGCCAAAGGAGUCUCAAACUCCGUUUAUAGAUGAGUUCGCGGACCAUUAGCUUGUUGGCGGGAUAAUAGCCCACCAAGGCUACGAUGGUUAGCCGGCCUGAGAGGGUGAUCGGCCACACUGGAACUGAGACACGGUCCAGACUCC
RNAcentral lists this ribosomal RNA (241 nucleotides) under uncultured bacterium. RNAcentral's name for it is "partial 16S ribosomal RNA". It matches the Rfam family "Bacterial small subunit ribosomal RNA", at positions 104 to 339 of the family's 1533-position model. The record is from RNAcentral.